UUGCAACUCUUACAUUUUUCACUUUAAAUUUUAAUCAGAAAAUAUCGAAGAAUCAAUAGCUAAACUUUGAAAGGUUCCGAAAGCAAACCUGAUUAUAAGUUAGUGAAUUAAUGAUUUAAUAUGUUACUGAAUAAUCAAUAAUUGCUAUCAGAUGUUCUGAAUCGCUCUUACUAAAUAUGUUUUGGGAAUUUUGUGAUUACAUGAUGAAGUUUCAGGCAGGCAUGCUGAACUGAAGAAGACAUCAGCAGUGUCACAGACAGUGGAUUGAGUGCAGCCUCAGCAGGUUUUGCAGAUGACACCAAGCUGAGUUGUGUGGGUGACACUCCUGAAGGAUGGGAUGCCAUCCAGAGGGACCUGGACAAGCCCAAGCAGUGGCCCAUGGGAAUCUCAUGAGGUUUAACAGAUCAAGUCCAAGCUGCUGCAGCUGGGACAGGACAACCCUUGGUACCAAUCCAGGCUGGACAUGAGCAGCCCCAGAGCAGCCCUGGGAGAAGGACUUGGGGGUGCUGGUGAUGAGAGGCUGGACAUGGCCCGGCCGUGUGCGCUGGGAGCCCAGGAACCCCCCGUGUGCUGGGCUGCAUCCAGAGCCCCGUGGGCAGCAGGGCAGGGAGGGGAUUCUGCCCCUCUGCCCCUCUCUGCUCAGACCCCACCUGCAGGGCUGCAUCCAGCCCUGGGCUCCCAGCACAGGAAGGACAGGGAGCUGCUGGAGCCGGCCCAGAGGAGACACCAAGGUGAUCAGAGGGAUGGAACAGCUCUGCUGUGAGGAAAGGCUGAGAGAAUUGGGGCUGUUCAGCCUGGAAGAAAGAAGGCUUUGGGGUGACUGAAUUGCAGCCUUCCAGCACCUGAAGAGAGCCCACAGGAAAGAUGGAGAGAGACUAUUUACAGGGCCCUGGGGUGACAGGACAAGGGGGAAUGGGUUCAAACUGACAGAGAGUAGGUUUAGGUCAGAUAUUAGGCAGAAAUUCCUUACUGUGAGGUUCGUGAGGCAUUGGCACAGGAAAAGCUGUGGCUGCCCUGUCCCUGUGAGUGUUCAAGGCCAGUUUGGAUGGGGCUCUGAGCAACCUGGUCUAGUGGAAAGUGCCCCUGCCCAUGGCAGGUCCCUUGGAACUCAAACCCUUCUAAGGUUCUAUGAUUCCCUGAUUUUCAGAAGCCCCUAUUCUGAUGUCACAAGGAUCUGUGCUCCAACAGUGGAUUUGCCACCUCAGUUGAGCCAUGGCUGCCUCCAAGCUGACCCAUGUCCUAGGUUAUCUGUCCAGCUCUGGGUGGGAGCUCAUGGCUUUUCACCUUCUGUGCACAAAGGCGGUGUCUGGCAGCUUGGAGUGAGGAGCAGGAUUGCUUUGGCCCAGCGAGGGCAGCACUGGAAACCUGUGUGUGCAUCCAAUAAUGCAAUGGCUGGAAGACAAGGAAGUGGCAGAGUAGCUGGGUGGAUGCAGUGGAUAUUGGCAAUAAUUCUGAUGCUGUGGGGUCACCAGAUCAGUGGACAAGGACAAGCAAGUAAAGCAAAACCCAAGAACUGAUGUGGAAGGAACUCUGAUUCACUGCCCUGGCUUAAUGAAACUUUUACACUAGACCAAUUAGAAAGAAGUAAGUGGUUUUUAUUUUAUGCUGAACUUUACGGUUUAACAGUCA
Molecule: long non-coding RNA, 1629 nt
Filed under: Cyanistes caeruleus (blue tit)
Lineage: Eukaryota; Metazoa; Chordata; Aves; Passeriformes; Paridae
Description: lncRNA (ENSCCEG00000019427.1)
Source: RNAcentral